CGUCACUCUGAUGAUGCGGUUUCACCGCCUCCUCGGCCCUGGCUGGGCGGAAACCUCAUCUCGGCGCGGCCCGCCCGGGUCGAGCUCGGGGAUCGGGGGGGGCCACCGCGGCCACCCCUCACAGGAAAACAGCCAGCCGCCACUCUCACUUCUUCUCGCUCACUCCGGGGGCCGACUGCAGCCCGUCGCCUUCCUCGCCGUCGCCAUGGUCGGGCCGAGCGGCGCGUGGUUCCCAUCCAAAACUAAGCAGGAAGCCCCAUUGGAAAAACACAGUCAUCAGCUGUAAAUAUGGGGGGGUGUAGCAGUGGAGACGUUGCAGCCAUGUUUGUCUCUGCAUUCUAUCAGCUGGGAGGUGAAGUCACAAUGGAAAUUGCCCCCCCGCCCCAUGCCCCUUCCUCCUCCGAUCGCAGCACAGCCGUGGAAUAUGGUCGUCAACAUGGCUCUUCUCUUCCCCGACUGCGCGAGGAUAGAGACCCUCACUCACAUGUGCAGCGACAAAGCAACCGAAGUGGAGGAGGAAGAACAAGCGCUGCUGCUCUGUGGCCGCAGCUCACCGUGCCACAAAUGCACCACCACGAUUCACGUUCAUCGCGCACAGCUUGACUGCAUGGCGAGGCCUGCACAAACUGCGCGGUGGCCGCGAUCUUAAGAGGUUCACUGCGCGCGAGACGGGUUCAAUAUGAAUUUGGAGGCGUGCCGAAAUCAUGUUUGCAGGCAGAGACUCGUCAUCUUCUCAUGAAAUCCUUCAUCCAUUGCUUUUUACAUGAAUUCACAAUAUGAUGCUAACGCCAUGUUGCAGAAGCCACGUUGGCCAGUACAUUCUGCAACAUUUUGUUUUGUUUCAGCAGAAUUCAAUCUUCUUUGCCGGAGUAACUAAGCAGCAACGCGUCCACCAAGUUGGCAACCAAAGAUUUAAGCGUUUUGAUGCAGUUUAAUCAUUGGUAGGAGCCGAGGUUGAAAACAACAUUUUCUU
Long non-coding RNA from Gasterosteus aculeatus aculeatus (three-spined stickleback), 973 nucleotides. The record is from Ensembl. Lineage: Eukaryota; Metazoa; Chordata; Actinopteri; Perciformes; Gasterosteidae.